This 274-nucleotide ribosomal RNA is filed under the name uncultured bacterium. RNAcentral describes it as "partial 16S ribosomal RNA". It matches the Rfam family "Bacterial small subunit ribosomal RNA", at positions 523 to 796 of the family's 1533-position model. The record is from RNAcentral.
AUACGGAGGGUGCAAGCGUUAUUCGGAAUCACUGGGCGUAAAGGACGCGUAGGCGGGUUGGCAAGUCAGAUGUGAAAUCCUACAGCUUAACUGUAGAACUGCAUUUGAAACUGCUAACCUAGAGUAUGGGAGGGGGAGUUGGAAUUAGUGGUGUAGGGGUAAAAUCCGUAGAUAUCACUAGGAAUACCGAAAGCGAAGGCGAUCUCCUGGAACAUAACUGACGCUAAGGCGUGAAAGCGUGGGGAGCAAACAGGAUUAGAUACCCUAGUAGUCC